This 301-nucleotide ribosomal RNA is filed under the name uncultured bacterium. RNAcentral describes it as "partial 16S ribosomal RNA". It matches the Rfam family "Bacterial small subunit ribosomal RNA", at positions 509 to 807 of the family's 1533-position model. The record is from RNAcentral.
CAGUCGCCACGGUAACACGAGGGGGGCAAGCGUUGUUCGGAAUUAUUGGGCGUAAAGGGCGCGUAGGCGGUUUGGCAAGUUUGGUGUGAAAUCUUCGGGCUCAACUCGAAGUCUGCAUCGAAAACUGCCGGGCUUGAGUAUGGGAGAGGUGAGUGGAAUUUCCGGUGUAGCGGUGAAAUGCGUAGAUAUCGGAAGGAACACCUGUGGCGAAAGCGGCUCACUGGACCAUUACUGACGCUCAUGCACGAAAGCGUGGGGAGCAAACAGGAUUAGAGACCCGCGUAGUCCCUGUCUCUUAUAC